UACGUAGGGUGCGAGCGUUGUCCGGAAUUAUUGGGCGUAAAGAGCUUGUAGGCGGUUUGUCGCGUCUGCUGUGAAAAUCCGGGGCUCAACCCCGGACUUGCAGUGGAUACGGGCAGGCUAGAGUUCGGUAGGGGAGACUGGAAUUCCUGGUGUAGCGGUGAAAUGCGCAGAUAUCAGGAGGAACACCGGUGGCGAAGGCGGGUCUCUGGGCCGAUACUGACGCUGAGGAGCGAAAGCGUGGGGAGCGAACAGG
RNAcentral lists this ribosomal RNA (253 nucleotides) under uncultured bacterium. RNAcentral describes it as "partial 16S ribosomal RNA". It matches the Rfam family "Bacterial small subunit ribosomal RNA", at positions 524 to 776 of the family's 1533-position model. The record is from RNAcentral.